GACGAACGCUGGCGGCGCGCCUAAUACAUGCAAGUCGAGCGAGAACCGGGACUUCGGUCCCGGGGACAGCGGCGAACGGGUGCGUAACACGUGAGCAACCUGCCCCGAAGACCGGGACAAGCCGGGGAAACCUGGUCUAAUACCGGAUGUCCUCACCGAAUCGCAUGGUCUGGUGAGGAAAUGGAUUCCGCUUCGGGAUGGGCUCGCGGUCUAUCAGCUUGUUGGUGGGGUAAUGGCUCACCAAGGCGACGACGGAUAGCUGGUCUGAGAGGACGAUCAGCCACACUGGGACUGAGACACGGCCCAGACUCCUACGGGAGCAGCAGUAGGGAAUCUUGCGCAAUGGGCGAAAGCCUGACGCAGCGACGCCGCGUGCGGGAAGAAGGCCUGGUGUAACUCUUC
Molecule: ribosomal RNA, 402 nt
Filed under: uncultured bacterium
Lineage: Bacteria
Description: bacterial SSU rRNA
Rfam family: Bacterial small subunit ribosomal RNA
Source: RNAcentral